GACGAACGCUGGCGGCGUGCCUAAUACAUGCAAGUAGAACGCAGUUGCGAACGGGUGAGUAACGCGUAGGUAACUGCCUCAUAGCGGGGGAUAACUAUUGGAAACGAUAGCUAAUACCGCAUACUGUGCGAUGGACCUUCGUUGUAUUAGCUAGUUGGUGAGGUAAAGGCUCACCAAGGCGACGAUACAUAGCCGGCCUGAGCGGGUGAUCGGCCACACUGGGACUGAGACAAGGCCCAGACUCCUACGGGAGGCAGCAGUAGGGAAUCUUUGGCAAUGGGCGGAAGUCUGACCGAGCAACGCCGCGUGAGUGAAGAAGGGUUUCGGAUCGUAAAGCUCUUUUGUUAGAGAAGCGUUAACUAACCAAAAAGGAACGGCUAACUACGUGCCAGCAGCCGCGGUAAUAC
RNAcentral lists this ribosomal RNA (407 nucleotides) under uncultured bacterium. RNAcentral describes it as "partial 16S ribosomal RNA". It matches the Rfam family "Bacterial small subunit ribosomal RNA", at positions 28 to 526 of the family's 1533-position model. The record is from RNAcentral.